RNAcentral lists this ribosomal RNA (497 nucleotides) under uncultured bacterium. Its description in RNAcentral is "partial 16S ribosomal RNA". It matches the Rfam family "Bacterial small subunit ribosomal RNA", at positions 28 to 507 of the family's 1533-position model. The record is from RNAcentral.
GAUGAACGCUGGCGGCGUGCCUAAUACAUGCAAGUCGAGCGAACAGACGAGGAGCUUGCUCCUCUGACGUUAGCGGCGGACGGGUGAGUAACACGUGGAUAACCUACCUAUAAGACUGGGAUAACUUCGGGAAACCGGAGCUAAUACCGGAUAAUAUAUUGAACCGCAUGGUUCAAUAGUGAAAGACGGUUUUGCUGUCACUUAUAGAUGGAUCCGCGCGGCAUUAGCUAGUUGGUAAGGUAACGGCUUACCAAGGCAACGAUGCGUAGCCGACCUGAGAGGGUGGUCGGCCACACUGGAGCUGAGACACGGUCCAGACGCCUGCGGGAGGCAGCAGUAGGGAAUCUUCCGCAAUGGGCGGAAGCCUGGCGGAGCGGCGCCGCGUGAGUGAUGAAGGUCUUCGGAGCGUAAAACUCUGUUAUUAGGGAAGAACAAAUGUGUAAGUAACUGUGCACGUCGUGACGGUACCUAAUCAGAAAGCCACGGCUAACUACGUG